This 2249-nucleotide ribosomal RNA is filed under the name human gut metagenome. RNAcentral describes it as "bacterial LSU rRNA". It matches the Rfam family "Bacterial large subunit ribosomal RNA", at positions 802 to 2925 of the family's 2925-position model. The record is from RNAcentral.
GGAUGACCUGGGGCUAGGGGUGAAAGGCCAAUCAAAUUCCGUGAUAGCUGGUUCUCUCCGAAAUGCAUUUAGGUGCAGCGUCGGUCGAUUGCGUCGCGGGGGUAGAGCUACCGGAUGCUUGCGGGCCCUUGUUGGGUACCAACAGCAGCCGAACUCCGAAUACCGUUGACGUGUAUUCCGGCAGUGAGUCGGCGGGGGAUAAGCUCCGUCGUCGAGAGGGAGACAGCCCAGACCGUCGUCUAAGGUCCCGAAGCGUGUGCUAAGUGGGAAAGGAUGUGGAGUCGCAUAGACAGCCAGGAGGUUGGCUCAGAAGCAGCCAUCCUUCAAAGAGUGCGUAACAGCUCACUGGUCUAGUGGUUCCGCGCCGACAAUGUAGCGGGGCUCAAGCACACCACCGAAGACGCGGCAGCAAUCUUCAUGGUUGCUGGGUAGGAGAGCGUCCUGCGAGGGGCGAAGCGGCGGUGGAAACCGGCCGUGGACUUCGUGGGAGUGAGAAUGCAGACAUGAGUAGCGAGAGACGGGUGAGGAUCCCGUCCGCUGGAUGACCAAGGGUUCCGGGGCCACGUUCGUCGUCCCCGGGUGAGUCGGGUCCUAAGGCGAGGCCGACAGGCGUAGUCGAAUGGAUGAACGGGUGGAUAUUCCCGUACCGACCAUGGACCGGCAAAACCGAGACGGUGAGUACUAACCUCCGCCUCGUGGUGGUUCCUUCCUUCGGGUUGGUUCCGCCGCGUGGUGUUGGGACCGUAGCCGCAGUAGGUCAGCGCAGGGGUGACACGGAAUGGGAGCCGGCCGCGGAGGUGGUUUUCCGUGGUCAAGCACGCAGCCAGUCAUGUAGGCAAAUCCGCAUGGCGCGCAUGGCGAGGUGUGAUGAUGGGAGCCUUUUGGGCUCGAUAUCCGGUUGUCCAGGCCGUCGAGAAAAGCCUCGGCGUGAGGGCCAUGGCCGCCCGUACCCCAAACCGACACUGGUGGUCAGGUAGAGAAUACCAAGGCGAUCGAGCGAAUCCUGGUCAAGGAACUCGGCAAAUCACUCCCGUGCCUUCGGUAUAAGGGAGACCCGCUGGGGUGAACCGGCUAGCCCGGGGAGCUUUGGUGGGUGGCACAGACCAGGGGGUAGCGACUGUUUACCAAAAACACAGGUGCAUGCGAAGGCGAAAGCCGCUGUAUAUGCACUGACGCCUGCCCGGUGCCGGAAGGUUAAGAGGAUCCGUCAGUCCUUCGGGAUGAAGCGGUGAAUUCAAGCCCCGGUAAACGGCGGUGGUAACUAUAACCAUCCUAAGGUAGCGAAAUUCCUUGUCGGGUAAGUUCCGACCUGCACGAAUGGCGUAACGACUUCCCCACUGUCUCGACCAGGAGCUCGGCGAAAUUGCAGUACGAGUAAAGAUGCUCGUUAAGCGCAGAAGGACGAAAAGACCCCGGGACCUUUACUAUACCUUGGUAUUGGCGUUAGGCGCGGAUUGUGUAGCAUAGGCGGGAGGCUUCGAAGCGGGUGCGCCAGCAUUCGUGGAGCCGCAAGGUGAAAUACCGCUCUGUUCUCGUUUGACGUCUAACCUCGACAAGUCAUCCUUGUCAGGGACAGUGCCUGGCGGGUAGUUCAACUGGGGCGGUUGCCUCCCAAAGAGUAACGGAGGCGCUCAAAGGUCCGCUCAGCCCGGUUGGCAAUCGGGUGUCGAGUGUAAUCGCACAAGCGGGCUUGACUGCGAGGACGACGGUCCGAGCAGGGACGAAAGUCGGAGAUAGUGAUCCGGUGCCGGCGCACGGGCGCGGCAUCGCUCAACGGAUAAAAGGUACCCCGGGGAUAACAGGCUGAUCAUUCCCAAGAGUCCAUAUCGACGGGAUGGUUUGGCACCUCGAUGUCGGCUCGUCGCAUCCUGGGGCUGGAGCAGGUCCCAAGGGUUCGGCUGUUCGCCGAUUAAAGCGGCACGCGAGCUGGGUUCAGAACGUCGUGAGACAGUUUGGUCUCUAUCCUCUGCGCUCGUUGGAAUCCUGAGGAGGCCUGCCCAUAGUACGAGAGGACCUGGGUGGACGAACCUCUGGUAUGCCGGUUGUCGCGCCAGCGGCACGGCCGGUUGGCUACGUUCGGGAGGGAUAACCGCUGAAAGCAUCUAAGCGGGAAGCCUGCUCCAAGAUUAGGAUUCCAUGGAUCUUCGAGAUCCUGUAGCCCGCAUGUUGAACACGUGUUUGAUAGGCCGGAGGUGGAAGCCCCGUGAGGGGUGGAGCCGACCGGUACUAACGGGCGACGGCGACACAAC